AGUUCAUCAACUUUAAUUUGCUCACGAAUACAGAGAUUAAUUGGCUGAAUAACUAUCACUCUGACGUUUGGGAGAAGGUCUCACCCUUGCUCGACGGUUCAGCACGUCAGUGGCUUUGGAACAAUACGAGGCCAGUUGUAAAACCUUGAAUUUUUACUAGUAAUGUUAUAAGUGUGUCUUUAAUUUUGCAUAUUUAUACAAAUUGUUGGAACUUUUUUUUUUCAUUCAGGGUUACAUUUAUUGCUGAAAUUAUAUAGUAUCAAAUAUGUGUAUUGUUCACUGUAAAAAUGAUGUAAAAUUUAUUCCCUUUUUAUGAAUACAUAGUUAGUUUUCUUU
This is a long non-coding RNA of Impatiens glandulifera, 336 nucleotides long. RefSeq lists it as uncharacterized. The transcript is spliced from 2 exons. The record is from RefSeq and is a predicted model, not a curated record. NCBI's taxonomy places the organism in Eukaryota, Viridiplantae, Streptophyta, Magnoliopsida, Ericales, Balsaminaceae.